GAUGAACGCUGGCGGCGUGCCUAAUACAUGCAAGUCGAGCGAACAGACGAGGAGCUUGCUCCUCUGACGUUAGCGGCGGACGGGUGAGUAACACGUGGAUCACCUACCUAUAAGACUGGGAUAACUUCGGGACACCGGAGCUUAUACCGGAUAAUAUAUUGAACCGCAUGGUUCAAUAGUGAAAGACGGUUUUGCUGUCACUUAUAGAUGGAUCCGCGCCGCAUUAGCUAGUUGGUAAGGUAACGGCUUACCAAGGCUACGAUGCGUAGCCGACCUGAGAGGGUGAUCGGCCACACGGGAACUGAGACACGGUCCAGACUCCUACGGGAGGCAGCAGUAGGGAAUCUUCCGCAAUGGGCGAAAGCCUGACGGAGCAACGCCGCGUGAGUGAUGAAGGUCUUCGGAUCGUAAAACUCUGUUAUUAGGGAAGAACAAAUGUGUAAGUAACUAUGCACGUCUUGACGGUACCGAAUCAGAAAGCCACGGCUAACUACGUG
Molecule: ribosomal RNA, 497 nt
Filed under: uncultured bacterium
Lineage: Bacteria
Description: partial 16S ribosomal RNA
Rfam family: Bacterial small subunit ribosomal RNA
Source: RNAcentral